GCCGGAAUAGCUCAMUUGGUA
This 21-nucleotide transfer RNA is filed under the name Porotrichum robustum. Its description in RNAcentral is "partial transfer RNA-Phe". Lineage: Eukaryota; Viridiplantae; Streptophyta; Bryopsida; Hypnales; Neckeraceae. The record is from RNAcentral.